GUAGCUGGUUAGUAUAUAACUGCAGGAGAUGCAGCUGUACUAACACAGAGGCCCCUAUCCACCCAGAGGCACUGAUAACCCUGCGGGAAGAAUAGCUCACAGUCUACAUAUUGAUGCAUCCUCAAAUAUAAAGUCAAUGGAGCAGCAAUGGGCUCAGCUGGCUUGGGAAGAGCUGCCAGAUUUUCAGAACAAUGCCAC
Molecule: long non-coding RNA, 198 nt
Organism: Sinocyclocheilus grahami
Lineage: Eukaryota; Metazoa; Chordata; Actinopteri; Cypriniformes; Cyprinidae
Exons: 3
Source: RefSeq, a predicted model, not a curated record